GCCGAAGUGGUGGAAUUGGUAGACGCGCCGGACUCAAAAUCCGGUGGGGGCGACCCCGUGUCGGUUCGACUCCGACCUUCGGCACCA
This 87-nucleotide transfer RNA is filed under the name Nitrospina gracilis Nb-211. Its description in RNAcentral is "tRNA-Leu". It matches the Rfam family "tRNA". From Rfam's summary of the family: Transfer RNA (tRNA) molecules are approximately 80 nucleotides in length. Their secondary structure includes four short double-helical elements and three loops (D, anti-codon, and T loops). Lineage: Bacteria; Pseudomonadati; Nitrospinota; Nitrospinia; Nitrospinales; Nitrospinaceae. The record is from RNAcentral. RNAcentral also lists the same sequence under 7 other names.